CCCGACCCUGGUCUGCGACAUACCCUCCUCGACCCUGGUCUGCGACAUACCCUCCCCGACCCUGGUCUGCGACAUACUCUCCCCGACCCUGGUCUGCGACAUACCCUCCCCGACCCUGGUCUGCGACAUACCCUCCCCGACCCUGGUCUGCGACAUACCCUCCCCGACCCUGGUCUGCGACAUACUCUCCCCGACCCUGGUCUGCGACAUGCUCUCCCCGACCCUGGUCUGCGACAUACUCUCCCCGACCCUGGUCUGCGACAUACCCUCCCCGACCCUGGUCUGCGACAUGCUCUCCCCGACCCUGGUCUGCGACAUGCUCUCCCCGACCCUGGUCUGCGACAUGCUCUCCCCGACCCUGGUCUGCGACAUGCUCUCCCCAACAACUGACAGCACUUUUUUGACGUUUUUUUUUUUACAUGUUUGUGGCAAAAGGGGGCGUGUGCAUUAAAACAGGCCGGCGUUAUCGCCUCUGUCAUAGACAUUUUUUUUUAUUGAACAUGUUCAAUAUGUCGGCAUCUAGUGCCAACACCGCUGUAGUAUGGGAGAUUUUAAGGCAUGAGAUUCCUCCAUUUUCUUUUCUGUUUUUGUUAUCAUUGUGUAGUUAGUUGUACAUAUGUUUAUGUAGCGGCGCAAGAUAAUUACUAGAUUGGGUAUUUUCGGAAUGGUGAGUGAUACUGCUUUUUAUAUAGCAUGCUAGAAUAACAUGAAGUUUUACACAUUUCAGUGGAGUUUGUUUCUAUGGUUAGGUGUUUUUUUUUCGUUGUCUUUUUGUUGCAAAUUUGCAGAAUGCCGCCCAUUUGUAAGCUGAUUGAAAAUAUAUGAAUUUGUCGUAAUGAAAUAUGUUCCUCCCUUGCCACUUCUGAGUAGUGUGUAAAGGGAAAUCUAGUAAGAAGCUUUUAGGCGAGGUCGAUGUCCUCCUGUCUGUCCAUUCCCCUGGGCGGGUUUCCCAUGUUCUCCAGUUUGUCCCGGAACAGUGCAGAUCGUGUUUGUAAUCCGUCUUUUUUGAAGCGCGCCAAAACUCUUUCCCGCACAGUCAGAGACCAUUGGCUUGUGGAUUUGUACUGUCACCCAGAUAUCCUCUGACUGUCUGAGGAGUUUGACAUAGCAGUGUAUUUCUCAAUACAUCUGAAAGUGGGUUGAUUAUCCAUAGCAUUUGACAAAAUUAGAACUUUACAAAAAUUGUUUUUGUAUUUUAUCCCCUUUUUCUCUGCAUUUUUGUGAUAUCCAAUUGCGAUCGUAUUACGAUCUUGUGUCAUCGCUGCAACUCCCCAACGGGCUCGGGACAGGCGUAGGUCGAGCCGUACAUCCUCCGAAACAUGACACGCCAAGCCACACUUCUUAACACCCGCCCACUUCACCCAGAAGCCAACUGCACCAAUGUGUCGAAGAAAACAUUGUUCAACUGACGACCGAGGUCAGCCUGCAGGCGCCCGGCCCGCCACUAGGAGUUGCUAGAGCGCGAUGAGGCAAAUAAAGCCAAACACUCCCCUAACCCAGACAAUGCUGGGCCAAUUGUGCACUGCCCUAUGAGACUCCCGUACACAGUCGUUUGUGACACUGCCUGGGAUCGAACCCAGGUCUGCAGUGACGUCUCAAGCCUUAAACCGCUGAGCGACUCGGGAGGCCUUGACACAAACUUUUGUCAUGGCAAUGGUCGUGUUGAGCGACGUUGCCCCUGCAUUUUACAAGAAAUCUCAAAUUCUGGGAUCCAAUAAUUUAUAUAGGCAAACAUAUUUCAAGGGGCAAUUCUUAGUGUCCAUUUUGGAAAAGUGACUAUUGACUGCUUAUGGGCAUUGCAGAGUGUUGCCAGUCAGCUGUUGUUCUCAGAACCUAGGAUUAAGCUAUGUAUCCUGGACUGUUGAUACAGUGUUCCUUCCUCAUCUCUAUUUUACUACAGAAGUGUAAUGUUCUGUAUUUUGUAAUGAAACGCCACGCAAGACUGUAUGGUGCUGAUGUGAAAACCCUGAGAGGUGCACUAUCACUUGUUAAAAGCUACCUAGUCUGAUCUCUCUCUGUCACACACACACACACACACACACCAGUUGCCAUGCUCCCGUCCUUGGCUGAUACCCGUCUCAAUCUGCACAUUUUCUAGGACUCCAUGGUUUCCCCUGGAAGUGAUAACUGUGGGUAAGAGUUGAACCUGAACUAUGGUCUGUAGUAUUACGGUUGUUUCAUCACUGUUUAUUUGAUGUAGUACUCACUCAGAUCCAGCAGGGGUGCUACUCUCACCCCCAAAAAACACUUGUAUAUACAUCUAGAAAAAGUCAAAUGCAUGCUUAUUUUCACACUCGUCCCCUUUCUUUUGUAAUGUAGAUUCUAUUUUGCUACCAAGUAUUUUUGUAGAAAGGGGAUGGUAUAGCAUUAUAUGCUCUGCUCCUGAUGUCGUCACGGCGAUGGAGACAUACUGCUGUCAGGUGGAGAGGAUACUGUUUUGGGGAAAGCAGGUUUUGUUUAUUUAGUUUUUUUUAAGGGAAAUGUUUGCCACGGUCAGGCUAUGUACAUAGUAGGACCAAGUCCCCUUUCUGUCAGUCAGUACUUUCUUCAAUACUCUACUCCUCUAAUGAAAUGCAGGAUUUUAAGCCUUCUUACUGUGUGCGUGGAAGUGUAUGAGUGUUUGUGUCAAUAUGAAUAUGAUCAUUGUGGUCCUGAUGGUUUUGGGCUAGAGGAGGACAGAAGGGAAGUAGGGGGGAGAUUAGAUCUCCCUGUAAUGACCGACAGCAUUGCUUAUUAUUAAAAUCCCCUCACUGAAGACUGCACUAUCCGGAAUGGCACCCUAUUCCCUACAUAGUGCACUACUACCCAUAGGGCGCUGGUCAAAAGUAGUGCACUACUACCCAUAGGGCGCUGGUCAAAAGUAGUGCACUACUACCCAUAGGGCGCUGGCCAAAAGUAGUGCACUAAGUGCCAUUCCAGAUGCAGCCCAUUUGUCUUUAUUAGGAGUGGUCUGGGUUUUGGGUGUUUCCAUUCCCAUCUUACUGUAUGGAGGUGCUUGGUAGAGGUGGAGGGAAUUGAACCAUGGUCUCCUACAGCACUUAGUUACUUAAGUGCAUUGACCAAGCGCAAGCGUCUGUCUUGACGCUAACCCAACGAUGAUAACUGCUAGCCGUUAUCGUUACAGUGAUGCUAACCCAACGGUGCUAGCUGUUAACAUUAGUGAUGCUAACCCAACGGCGCUAGCAGUUAACAUUACAUUGAUGCUAAGCCAACGGUGCUAUCCGUUAACAUUACAGUGACACAGAGCAGUGUGUAUGAGGGUAUACUGUAUCACUGUUUUUCACUGCUCUCCAUGUACAUUGUCCUACAAGGACAUUCAGAAAAAGUAGUAUCUACCGAUCUGGAGAAAGAGAUUUGCUCUUUGUAAAGCUGUCCCCAAGUGUCCAGGUGAAUUGAACCUAAACUCACCGUCCUAUAGGACCAUUGAAAAUCCAAUGGUACAUGCAUUUACCUGAUAGAAUAUAUUUUAUUAGCAAAGAAAUGUUUUUAAUCUGCUCUUCAAGUUGUAUUGCUUGUUCUUGUUUCCACCCGUACUAUUCUGUGUAUUAGUUGUUUGUCCUUUUUAUGCUCCCAAAUCUUUUAAUGUCAUUUUGUAUAAAUAUAUAUCCUUAUUUUUUUCUUUGCAUAGGAAAUGUUGUCAAAAUGAUGCAUCAUACUUGUAUCUGUUAUUGUUGGUCUUUUAAUAAAAAAAUACAUAUCUC
This 3701-nucleotide long non-coding RNA is filed under the name Salmo salar (Atlantic salmon). RNAcentral's name for it is "lncRNA (ENSSSAG00000120935.1)". Lineage: Eukaryota; Metazoa; Chordata; Actinopteri; Salmoniformes; Salmonidae. The record is from RNAcentral.